AAACCAGACCGAGCAGCAUCUGAGAGCCAUGGCGCAUAAACGCUUCACUCCACGGCGUGGAGUCAUCUGUCACGCUGCGGUGAAUUCCAGACCACUUCCCAACCGAAGAAAGCGCUGACCACAAACACGGUAUGGAACAGCAUACGCACCGGUGCCAACAGCACAGAGAACAACACUUCCAGCAGCAACGAAAGCGUUACGCGACAGAAACCGCCAUACUCUUUCGAACCUUUGCACCAGAUAAGGAUGAUACUCAGUAGCUUCGGCAGGAACAGCAGCACCAUGGUGGAAGCAAACAGCGCGAUCGCCAGUUCCGGACGCCACUGCGGCCACACCGGGAACAGCUGGCGCGGUUGCAGGAAGUAUUGUGGUUCCGUCAACGCAUGCACAACCUGCAGUGCAGUCGACAGUAGCGAGGAACAUAAACCACAGCGGAGCAGACAGAUAAGACAUAACGCCCGUACAGGAACACCGCACGGUGUACCGGGUAGCAUACCUUUUCACCAGGGAACAGGCGGAAGUUCAUCAGGGUUACCCCUGNACACC
Molecule: ribosomal RNA, 546 nt
Filed under: uncultured bacterium
Lineage: Bacteria
Description: partial 16S ribosomal RNA
Source: RNAcentral